CGUGUAGGCGGCCAGACAGGUCUGUUGUGAAAACUCGAGGCUCAACCUCGAGACGCCGAUGGAAACCGUUUGGCUAGAGUCCGGAAGAGGAGAGUGGAAUUCCUGGUGUAGCGGUGAAAUGCGCAGAUAUCAGGAAGAACACCCGUGGCUAAGGCGGCUCUCUAGUACGGUACUGACGCUGAGACGCGAAAGCGUGGGAGCGAACA
Molecule: ribosomal RNA, 206 nt
Filed under: uncultured bacterium
Lineage: Bacteria
Description: partial 16S ribosomal RNA
Rfam family: Bacterial small subunit ribosomal RNA
Source: RNAcentral